CUACGGGCGGCAGCAGUAGGGAAUAUUGCUUAAUGGGCGAAAGCCUGAAGCAGCAACGCCGCGUGUACGAUGAAGGCCUUCGGGUUGUAAAGUACUUUUUGCAGGGAUGAGGAAGGACAGUACCUGCAGAAUAAGCCUCAGCUAACUACGUGCCAGCAGCCGCGGUAAAACGUAGGAGGCGAGCGUUAUCCGGAUUUACUGGGCGGAAAGCGGGUGUAGGCGGAUUGGUAAGUUAGCUGUGAAAGCUCCCGGCUUAACUGGGAGAGGUCGGUUAAUACUGUCAGUCUAGAGUAUGUGAGGAGGGAAGUGGAAUUCCGGGUGUAGUGGUGAAAUGCGUAGAUAUCCGGAGGAACACCAGAGGCGAAAGCGGCUUCCUGGCACAUAACUGACGCUCAGACGCGAAAGCUAGGGGAGCGAACGGGAUUAGAUACCCCCGUAGUC
This 441-nucleotide ribosomal RNA is filed under the name uncultured bacterium. Its description in RNAcentral is "partial 16S ribosomal RNA". It matches the Rfam family "Bacterial small subunit ribosomal RNA", at positions 339 to 795 of the family's 1533-position model. The record is from RNAcentral.